Molecule: transfer RNA, 75 nt
Filed under: Microcaldota archaeon
Lineage: Archaea; Nanobdellati; Microcaldota
Description: tRNA-Lys
Rfam family: tRNA
About the family: Transfer RNA (tRNA) molecules are approximately 80 nucleotides in length. Their secondary structure includes four short double-helical elements and three loops (D, anti-codon, and T loops).
Source: RNAcentral
GGGCCCGGAGCUCAGCUUGGCCAGAGCGGUUGGCUCUUAACCAAUAGGUCGCGCGUUCAAAUCGCGCCGGGCCCG